CGUCUCCUCCAUGUCUCCUCCUGAUAUGGAUUAAGCCCGCAAACACGCGGGCUUUCUUUU
This 60-nucleotide non-coding RNA is filed under the name Pandoraea pnomenusa. Its description in RNAcentral is "Betaproteobacteria toxic small RNA". It matches the Rfam family "Betaproteobacteria toxic small RNA". From Rfam's summary of the family: Overexpression in amino aid rich medium attenuates growth, suggesting role in repressing amino acid intake and metabolism. Lineage: Bacteria; Pseudomonadati; Pseudomonadota; Betaproteobacteria; Burkholderiales; Burkholderiaceae. The record is from Rfam by way of RNAcentral.